This 240-nucleotide ribosomal RNA is filed under the name uncultured bacterium. Its description in RNAcentral is "partial 16S ribosomal RNA". It matches the Rfam family "Bacterial small subunit ribosomal RNA", at positions 94 to 334 of the family's 1533-position model. The record is from RNAcentral.
AGCGGCGGACGGGUGAGUAACGCGUGGGUAACCUGCCUCAUACAGGGGGAUAACAGUUGGAAACGGCUGCUAAUACCGCAUAAGCGCACAGUACCGCAUGGUACGGUGUGAAAAACUCCGGUGGUAUGAGAUGGACCCGCGUCUGAUUAGCCAGUUGGCGGGGUAACGGCCCACCAAAGCGACGAUCAGUAGCCGACCUGAGAGGGUGACCGGCCACAUUGGGACUGAGACACGGCCCAA